UGUUCUUAUAGAAUAUCCAAUGGAUGACGAUAUGAUAUUUAGAACAUGUUUCGAACACCUCUUUAUAGUAUAGAUGAUGGAUGACUUUAUACUAUGAAGUUGUUUUUCAAUAUAUAUAUGUUCAGUGGUUUUGUACUUACCUAGUGGUCAUUUCCUCUACGGGACGUAGGGAUAGAUUCCGGUCCGUCCCGGGUGAUGGUUUGGUGUUGGCAUAGGGCCUGGAGUGUGUUUCCUCUGGCUAUUUAGCACAGGGACGGGGAGUCGGCAUGGGGCCUGAAGUGUAUUUUCCUCUGACUGUCUGCUCAGAGACGAGGAGCCAGCAUGAGGCCUGGGGGUUAUCGGACAAUUCACUAGUGAUUAUUAUAUAUACAAGUUAUGAUUUGAGACAUUGCAUGGCAUGCUAGGUUUUGGAAAACCUAUGUUUAUCAUUAUAUAUGUGUUUUCAUAAAACCUGGGGGUUAGUACGUGGAUAACUGUUUUAUUAUAUCUAUAUCAAAUUGGUCCACUUAUGUUUGUUUUGCAUCCCCUUCAGGAUUUAGAAUCGAGGCAUACAAUCCCGGCAUCCAGACACUUCCGCAUUGGUAUCUUCGAGUCCUCUCGGUGUAGGACCCACUUCUGUGUUCAUUCAAUUUUUAUAUUAAUUCUUUUAGACUUCUAGAUUAGAUGUGUGCUCUGAACACGUUCCUUAAAUGUAUAUUCCUUAUUAUUUUACAUUUAUAAGUUUUAUCUAUCCCUUGUUUUUAGCAUUUGCACUCAAUAAAUGGCUUUCGUCACCCUCGGGUGUCGACCAGCACGAGCCUAUCCUGGUAUUCGGGGAAUAUCGGGGUCGAGGCAUGUCAGAUUGGUAUCAGAGCAUGGUUUGUUCAGAGCAUACUUAGGAUCUUCUCUUACUAAAUUAGUGUGUCAGUUUUGACUUCAUUUGGAUGUCAGGACUUCUGGAUUUUAUGCCAUUUGGCGUAGUUAUGCAAAUCUUCUUUGUUUGAAUUGUCACAUUCUGGUUAAAAUACAAGAAUUCGUGUCGGGAUUGUGCCUCAUUAGUGAUGUGCUUGAAUUAUUGGAUGACUUUCAGCUUCGGAUCGAUACUCUACGAUGUGCAUUCCCUGGGAAUGACGGGCAUGGUCGGUGUUACUUGAAGCGACUUGUUUUAGAAAUCUCAAUUUGAGGAAGUCUGGUCAAGACCAGCUGUAAAUCUGAAAUGGUGAUGCCACUUUGCAACAUGCGUUCCCUAGGAAUGGCGGGCAUAUUCAUAUCUCUUGGAAAUUACUCGAAACAUUCAAAGUGCGUGCUAAAUAACGAGUAAGUGCUAUUGGUGACGACGGUUAGUAAGUGGUAGUUGGUGGGAGCAAAUCAAUGUUCUUGGACUCGUUUCCAUUAAGGAUAUUCGUGUGAAUCUUUAGAAUGAAUCUUCAGUGAUUGUUCUAUCGAUAACCUUCUUGCUUAUUCCAAUGACGAAGUCAAGUUCACAAACCUUUGACCGUCAGCUUCACAUCAAAUUCUUCAAGUGUUGACUUCGUUUACAUUAAUUGUUUUCUUAGGAAGCUCCUCGGAAGCAGACGCUAUUCUUACCAAUUUCCAAAUGGAGUUGCGAUUCUUCUUGUUGUUGUAGUUGAACUUGGAUGAUGAAGACCCAAACUUGUUUGGAUAAACAGACUCCUUGAAUUUCCCCUGGGUCUGGUACUCGGUGGUAAACCUUAGCUCCUUGUUCACGUACCUUUCGGUAGAGGUGAACUUAGCCUCUUGCUUGUAGCUUAACUGACCAAUGCUCUUGUCCAUUAACUGUUCAUCCUUGUAAUUUUCAGUGAAAUGGCUUAAGACUCUACCAUAUUCAUCAUUGUAUGAAGAUCGAGCUUUGCUCUAAACUUCUCUGGACUCAUUGAGCUUUGGUUUACUAAAAGGUAUCACUUUAAGGUAGCCAAUUGUGUCACUGCAUGCAUACGCAGGCUGCUUCGUAUCCUUCUUCUUCGUCAUUCUGUUAAUUCAGAGGUUUUAUGUUUCAUUUUUGAACUUUGAAACAUCUCUCACAAAGCAUUAUGAAUUUUGAAAUGUCUUUGGCCUCGUCAAACCUUAUUAAAAGUUCUUAACUAUUCUUGAGAUUAGACCUGUUCCUUUUGGCUAAGAAACUAGUCGACCCUAUUGUGAUGAUUAGCCAAAUAAUCAUAAACAGUGACUUCUAUUUCUGCAUCUUCAUUUUCCUUCGCUUGUUUGUUUCUCAAUGUGAACUGGAUCAUGUCGGAACAAUACAUCGAGGGUGAAAAAAAAAAAAAGUUUGUUCUCGGCAUGAUUUCUUACUCAACUAGAUAUCUUGUGCUAUAAAUUUAAUGGACUUGUUUUGACCCUCAAAUUCUUGAGUGUUCUUUUAGCCUUCUCGACAUGGUUUCUCGCUCAAUCAGUGAGGAAUUCACGAAUGAUCGAUUCGGCGGAAGUGUGCACCCAAUUCUUAUCGAUUUGGACAGGAAUGUUGGGAGCAUAAUAUCUUGACAAGCUUACCAGACUUACCAUAAAAAGUUCCACGUGGGUGUGAAGUUUGAGCGGUCUUUUAGUAAGAGUUGGUUAAAGGUUUUAGUACGGAAGGUCAGCAUAUUGUAUCACCAUCUUACUAGAAUUCAUAGGCAUCACAUCGGUUAUUUUCCAACGAUAUGUGUCGUCUCAACGCAUAUUUUCACUGCUUCACUCCAAAACUCUUUUGUUGUGAGUACGUGGUUGUCGAAACACUUCUAGCAGAUCUGUUUGGUGCACUCUGGGAUGGCACCACAGCGUGGUCGAGGUGAGAAUCAGAAGAUCUUCACACUUCUCUCGAAAGGUGUGUACUCUCUUUUCUUUUUAGGUUGACCAUUUGCGAGUCAUUCUUUCCACCAACUUUGACCUUGGUUGACUAGAAAUAUGCAACUAAGCAACAAUGGAGAGGUGGUUUGAGCACUACAACAGUUCCCAAGAGAUACUGCGUGUUGAGGAAGAUGACUUCUCAUUUUCUGCUUGCUUGGUUCGAGCUUUUGGGUCUACUACUAACAUGGUAGCCACUUCUCUUGAAUCUCAAGGUACAAUUUUCAAAUGGGUUCUUUACUGGUGAAACACUAGAGUAGUUGGUCACAUUUGGAAGAACUGAGGAGGAUAUGAUGCUUGGUACUGGAUGGAGUUGUUACGACGAUAGUUUUUAUUUUGUUGGUUGGGUACGACAUUUUUGCGACAUAGUACGAAAGUUUUCUACGGGCAACACUAGUUGACAGAUGAGUAUUGUGAUCUGGUAUUUGGAUGAUCGAAUUUUCGACGUGUGAAAUUGUGCACCCUCAGGAAAUUACUGCUUGCUUAGCGAGACAACAAUGUGUUGUCGAUAUUGCGGGCUGCAGACCGUUGUAUCGAUAACUUAUUCGUUGGGUUUGUUAAGCAAGUGAGCAAGAAGAUCCGUCUUCAGCAGUUGUGCGGAAUGGUUAUUCUUGGGACUCUAACCAAAGAUUCAUGUUCUCAAAGUGCGUGACGUUUCAUAUGCGUAGGCGAGACCCACUCUCAUUUUUCAAUUUUGGUUUUCAAUAUAAGUAUUUUAACUUCCUUUACUUUAGUUAUUUGUUUUUGGCGUUACAAAUGUUUUGGGGGAAGUAUUUCCGUUUUCAGUUUUAAGUUCAGCACGAGUUUUCGAUCUAUAUGUUAUUACUUAUCUAUUUUAGACGUUAUCGUAUUUUAUGUACUUACUUUUGACCUUAAGUUAUUUUGUGUUUUCGACCUUAUAUCUUUAUAAAGUAUGUUUUCUACUAUUACUCUGAUGGGGAAGAAAGUAGAAGCUUGGAGGCAUGAUAGAGGAUUUUGCAACCCGCUCGCGACGGUGUGUCAUAUUCUCUUUGAUGCACCCACUCUGACUUGAUUACCCUUUAUACAUAUAUUUUCUUUCUAUUUUCGAGUAUUUUUCAGUGUAGUAUGUUAUUUUAAAUUUCGAGGAUGAAAUUAUUUUAAGGGGGGUAGAUUGUUACAACCACCCCCAAAUAAUUGUAAUAUUUGUUAUUUUCACCCCUAAGCUGCCACGUGUCAGCCAUCUAACCCUCUCUUUUCUCUCUUUCUGCCCCCCCCCCCCCGUGAUCUCUCUUUUCUUCUUCUUCGUCUCUCUCUCACGUAGCUCUCUCAACUCUCCCGUGUAUCUCUCUCUCCCUUAACCUCUCGCAUCUCUCUCUCUUUGGACUCACGAAGAUCAUAUCACCAACAUGUGAGACUCGCAACGAACCCAGGUUCCCUGCCCUGUGAACUCGACGGCACGGAGCAAAGCUCCGGUGAGCUUUCUUUCCUUUUUCCCGUCGGGUAAGUCUCGAAUCCCUCGUUCUCGUACCUAGCAUGAUGCUUGGUUGUGUUUUAGGAGGUUGAUCCUUCCAUUUUUACGUAGGUUUUGCCUCGGGAUUGUGUUGGGUGAAGCACACCCGUUUUCCCAAAUUCAAUUACUAUUAUAUAGUUUUAUUAAUUGAGCCCUUUAUGUGCUUUGGGGCAAUUAUAGUGGCAUUUCUGUCUUCGCUAGCUGCGUGACUUUUCGACGGCAAAGUACUGUGAGUGGACCCCUUCUAAAAAUGCAUGUUUUAAUAGUAGAAAUGCAUACAUGAAAGACAUGAUUUACUGAUUACGUUUUAUGAAACGUUUUGAGAUAACAUGCUUACUAAGGCUAGUUUGAAUUAUUAUUAUUUUUCCUAUACCCCAUGUUCUUAUAGAAUAUCCGAUGGAUGACGAUAUGAUAUUUAGAACAUGUUUCGAACACCUCUUUAUAGUAUAGAUGAUGGAUGACUUUAUACUAUGAAGUUGUUUUCAAUAUAUAUAUGUUCAGUGGUUUUGUACUUACCUAGUGGUCAUUUCCGCUACGGGACGUAGGGAUAGAUUCUGGUCCGUCCCGGGCAACGGUUUGGUGUUGGCAUAAGGCCUGGAGUGUGUUUCCUCUGGCUAUUUAGCACAGGGACGGGGAGCC
RNAcentral lists this long non-coding RNA (4930 nucleotides) under Malus domestica (apple). RNAcentral describes it as "long non-coding RNA (MDOM_LNC013994)". The record is from RNAcentral. Lineage: Eukaryota; Viridiplantae; Streptophyta; Magnoliopsida; Rosales; Rosaceae.